RNAcentral lists this non-coding RNA (173 nucleotides) under Desulfosporosinus lacus. The record is from RNAcentral. Lineage: Bacteria; Bacillati; Bacillota; Clostridia; Eubacteriales; Desulfitobacteriaceae.
AAUCAUUCGUUUGUUACUGGUGCCCUGCAAAGGGAGAAUAGGGAACUGGGUGAGAAUCCCGGACGGACCCACCACUGUAAAGAGGAGACUUAUGCAUAGCCACUGGGAAACCGGGAAGGCGCAUAAAGUUGAUGAUUCUAAGUCAGGAGACCUGCCUGUAACUUAAAGUCAUG